AGGUUGUUAGUUUAAGUAAAACUUUUGAUUUCGGCUCAAACGCUUGUGGUUAAAGUCCAUAACUUCCUA
This 69-nucleotide transfer RNA is filed under the name Aulichthys japonicus (tubenose). RNAcentral describes it as "tRNA-Arg". It matches the Rfam family "tRNA". Rfam says of the family: Transfer RNA (tRNA) molecules are approximately 80 nucleotides in length. The record is from RNAcentral. Lineage: Eukaryota; Metazoa; Chordata; Actinopteri; Perciformes; Aulorhynchidae.